UGGGGAAUAUUGCACAAUGGGCGCAAGCCUGAUGCAGCCAUGCCGCGUGUAUGAAGAAGGCCUUCGGGUUGUAAAGUACUUUCAGCGAGGCGGAAGGCGUUGUGGUUAAUAACCGCAACGAUUGACGUUACUCGCAGAAGAAGCACCGGCUAACUCCGUGCCAGCAGCCGCGGUAAUACGGAGGGUGCAAGCGUUAAUCGGAAUUACUGGGCGUAAAGCGCACGCAGGCGGUCUGUCAAGUCGGAUGUGAAAUCCCCGGGCUCAACCUGGGAACUGCAUCCGAAACUGGCAGGCUAGAGUCUUGUAGAGGGGGGUAGAAUUCCAGGUGUAGCGGUGAAAUGCGUAGAGAUCUGGAGGAAUACCGGUGGCGAAGGCGGCCCCCUGGACAAAGACUGACGCUCAGGUGCGAAAGCGUGGGGAGCAAACA
This 427-nucleotide ribosomal RNA is filed under the name uncultured bacterium. RNAcentral's name for it is "partial 16S ribosomal RNA". It matches the Rfam family "Bacterial small subunit ribosomal RNA", at positions 355 to 774 of the family's 1533-position model. The record is from RNAcentral.